RNAcentral lists this ribosomal RNA (192 nucleotides) under uncultured bacterium. Its description in RNAcentral is "partial 16S ribosomal RNA". It matches the Rfam family "Bacterial small subunit ribosomal RNA", at positions 335 to 524 of the family's 1533-position model. The record is from RNAcentral.
ACUCCUACGGGAGGCAGCAGUAAGGAAUAUUGGUCAAUGGACGCAAGUCUGAACCAGCCAUGCCGCGUGAAGGAUGAAGGUCCUCUGGAUUGUAAACUUCUUUUAUAUGGGACGAAACCCGGGUAUUCCUACCCGAUUGACAGUACCAUAGGAAUAAGCACCGGCUAACUCCGUGCCAGCAGCCGCGGUAAU